RNAcentral lists this ribosomal RNA (257 nucleotides) under uncultured bacterium. RNAcentral's name for it is "partial 16S ribosomal RNA". It matches the Rfam family "Bacterial small subunit ribosomal RNA", at positions 524 to 776 of the family's 1533-position model. The record is from RNAcentral.
UACGAAGGGUGCAAGGCGUUACUCGGAAUUACUGGGCGUAAAGCGUGCGUAGGUGGUGAGUUAAGUCUGUCGUGAAAGCCCCCGGGCUCAACCUGGGGAAUGGCGAUGGAUACUGGCUCGCUAGAGUGCGGUAGAGGAGAGUGGAAUUCCCGGUGUAGCAGUGAAAUGCGUAGAGAUCGGGGAGGAACAUCAGUUGCGAAGGCGGCUCUCUGGACCAGCACUGACACUGAGGCACGAAAGCGUGGGGAGCAAACAGG